Saimiri boliviensis boliviensis (Bolivian squirrel monkey) is the source of this 509-nucleotide long non-coding RNA. RefSeq lists it as uncharacterized. The record is from RefSeq and is a predicted model, not a curated record. NCBI's taxonomy places the organism in Eukaryota, Metazoa, Chordata, Mammalia, Primates, Cebidae.
GCGCUCCUGCCAGCUGGGAGGGACCUGGUGGAGGUGGCGCCCUCCAUAAUAAGGGAACCAGAGAACUGGGCAGCCUUGCCAGAAGAAAGAACACACAGGUUCCUCAAGACACCCACUUAUAUGGCAGUGAGCAAGGCUAAAAAAGGAGCGCUCCCCUGCCCCAGAGGACAAAGGCUGGCAAGAGGAAGGCACGCAACGCCGCCCAGCUCAGGCUCCGACGGUUCUUCUGUGCUUCCCUCGGACCCAGUAGUGGUUUGAACGAAGGAGUGCCCCGGGGACACCCUGGCCCCAAAGGGGUGACUCGGCUUUCUGUGGAGCAUGACACCAGCAGCCAGGCCACUCACGUCUGGAGGUCACCGUUUCCCUCUGUUCUCCCGGCAGCGGAUUCCAGAUCUUUUUUACAGUUUUUCUUUUGAAAAACCAGAAGAGUCCUUAUUUUAGAAAUCCUUGAAAAUACACUGAAGAAUAAAGGAGAAUCAUUUAUAAUCGGCAAUUUAACUACUGGUAAA